This is a non-coding RNA of Malus domestica (apple), 1158 nucleotides long. Lineage: Eukaryota; Viridiplantae; Streptophyta; Magnoliopsida; Rosales; Rosaceae. The record is from RefSeq and is a predicted model, not a curated record.
UCUUCCUUCUCGCUCAUCUCGCCCUCUCUCUCACUCCGUCUCGCUCUUCUCUCCCACUCCGUUAGACGAAUUACAAAGACGAAGGAAGACAGCAGCCACUACCCACCCAUCUGUUUCUCCUCCGCUCCACCCUCCGUCGGCGUUUUGGGCAUUUUACCUGAUAGGGAUGUGCACCACCAGUAGAGCCGCGACUUGUGGUACGCAUUCAACCGAGAGUCACACACUGACACAAGUACACUAUUUGCCUGUAAUCUUCGUCUCCGCACAACACACAUACGUGGGUCGGUAAGCCCUUCCAAUUUCCCAAUCAUUUCCCUUCUCAAAUUUUGACAUAUAUGAAUUCCCAGUAUUCCAAUUACCAGGAAUUCACAGUGUUUGCUGUUUGCGUUCCCAUUUCACUGUAAAUUUCAAUCCUCACUGCCAUUUUUCACCUUAGUUUCCAGUAAUCAGUGAGAAAAAGUGUAAAUUUACCUGUUUAAAUUUGUGGGUUUUCGUUCUAUUACCGUAUAAUGGCGAUUUCUAUGCUUUACGGAGCUCAGAAUCUCAAACUUGUCAAUGGAAUAAUAGCAGUAACACCAAGUGGGUUAGGUUCUGGUGGGAAAAAUUACCCUUAUGGGGUUUUUCCCAGAAGGGUUUAGUGAGCUAUGGCGGUAGGAGUCGAAACACCAAUCGCCGCACCAACUUGCCAAGGCUAAGGAGAAGGAGCCCUUGAAGGAAUGCAGGAAAAUUGAAGGGGAUGCCGAUGAUCUGCCGUACCCAACUGAUUACGUGGAUCGAUAUGUCUCUGCUGGAAGGCAUCUCCAAUUCAUCUAGCUGGAAGGCAAGUUUACAUUGAGAAGCAGAGACCAAACAGCACUGGAUUAGCAGCUCGAGGAAGAGGAAGGGGCAGAGGCAGAGGAGGUUACCAAACUGAUGCCACAAGGGGGCGUUUUGGUGGCCGGAGUUCAAGCAGGGGUAGUUACGGAUGGAGAUUACAACAGACUGAGAGGCAAUGGUUUUCAUCAGCGUGGCAAGGCUACACCACCAGCCGAUACUUAGUAGCCUGAUGCAUCAAGCCUAAAAGACUACUUGUUGUAGUUUUUUCUUUUAUGUUUUUUUUUUGGGUCAAUUAGUUUUUUCUUUUUUGUUCGAACAUCUUGUACGUACAUUUUCAUAUAU